UACGUAGGGGGCAAGCGUUGUCCGGAAUUAUUGGGCGUAAAGCGCGCGCAGGCGGCUAUUUAAGUCUGGUGUUUAAACCUUGGGCUCAACCUAAGGUCGCACUGGAAACUGGGUGGCUUGAGUACAGAAGAGGAAAGUGGAAUUCCACGUGUAGCGGUGAAAUGCGUAGAUAUGUGGAGGAACACCAGUGGCGAAGGCGACUUUCUGGGCUGUAACUGACGCUGAGGCGCGAAAGCGUGGGGAGCAAACAGG
RNAcentral lists this ribosomal RNA (252 nucleotides) under uncultured bacterium. Its description in RNAcentral is "partial 16S ribosomal RNA". It matches the Rfam family "Bacterial small subunit ribosomal RNA", at positions 524 to 776 of the family's 1533-position model. The record is from RNAcentral.